RNAcentral lists this ribosomal RNA (468 nucleotides) under uncultured bacterium. Its description in RNAcentral is "partial 16S ribosomal RNA". It matches the Rfam family "Bacterial small subunit ribosomal RNA", at positions 28 to 507 of the family's 1533-position model. The record is from RNAcentral.
GACGAACGCUGGCGGCGUGCUUAACACAUGCAAGUCGAACGGACAGGCCCUGCUUUUGUUGGGUGCUCGAUUGCCGAACAGGUGAGUAACACGUGUGUAACCUGCCCUUGACUUUGGGAUAACUUCAGGAAACUGGGGCUAAUACCGGAUAGGAGCUCCUGCUGCAUGGUGGGCGUUGGAAAGUUUCGGCGGUUGGGGAUGGACUCGCGGCUUAUCCGCUUGUUGGUGGGGUAGUGGCUUACCAAGGCUUUGACGGGUAGCCGGCCUGGGAGGGUGACCGGCCACAUUGGGACUGAGAUACGGCCCAGACUCCUACGGGAGGCAGCAGUGGGGAAUAUUGCACAAUGGGCGGAAGCCUGAUGCAGCAACGCCGCGUGCGGGAUGACGGCCUUCGGGUUGUAAACCGCUUUCGCCUGUGACGAAGCGUGAGUGACGGUAAUGGGUAAAGAAGCACCGGCUAACUACGUG